Molecule: small nuclear RNA, 165 nt
Organism: Sorex fumeus (smoky shrew)
Lineage: Eukaryota; Metazoa; Chordata; Mammalia; Eulipotyphla; Soricidae
Product: U1 spliceosomal RNA
Exons: 1
Source: RefSeq, a predicted model, not a curated record
GUACUUAUCUGGCAAGAGGAACAGUAUGAUCAUAAAGAUAGUUUUCCCAGGGCAAGCCUCAUCCAUUGCAUUCCAAGAGACAUGCUGACCUCUGUGAUUUCCCCAAAUAUGGGAAACUUCACUACAUAAUUUGUGGUAGUGGGAGACUAUGUUUGUGUUCUCCUU